GUGACAUUUAUGUCACUUCUAGGAGUAGUUUUUACAUUAUUUUCAUAGUUAUUUUCAUAAAUUGCUACCUAUUUUAGCCUUUAUUUCUUAUUUUCACAUUUUGUAGCUUAAUUUAUUUAUUUAGUAAUUUUUGUUAGUUUUUAGGUCUUAAUUUCGUAGUUUCUUUCUUUUCUUUGUUUUAUUAAUUUUAUAAAUGAAUUAGUUUAGUUUUUUGUAUUAAUUUUCUAUUUAAUUCCCUUUUAGUCACUCUUAUUUUCCGGUCUCGUGCUUUAUCUUUAUGUGUGUAGGUGAGUGUUUGCGGAACCGGAAGGACGGAAUUUGUGGAGUUAAGUUCAAUUUAAAAGUCCCAAAACUUCAUCCUUCUUCAUGGCUUAUUAUCCUACACCACACCAUGCUUAUUAUCCUACACCACACCAUCUUCCCCAAUAUAUCACACAAAUCCACCACCAUCUUCCAUACCCAAACACCGCAGCACCACCAUCAUCAUGGCCUGCAGCACCGCCAACUUUACCUGCACAAUCUGUCCAAGCCAAAGGGGAGCGGGCGCUCCUCUGUUAAAUGGAGCGGGCGCUCCGUUUGAGUUCACCACAAACAGGGGAGUUCCAGAAUGUUUCGAGCGAGGCACGAGCGAUCUUAGAGCGGGCGCUCAAAGAAAAACGUGCUCAAUACUCAUUAAAUGAAUCGACGGUCGUGAUUCAUUGAAGAAAAUCAAUGGCGAAUAUCAAACAUCAGAAAAAUGGAAUCAAAGCCAUGAAAAUCAAUGGCUGCGAUUUUCGCUAAUGAUGAAGAUGAUGAUGUUGCAGCGAAUUAAAGGCCACGAUUUUGCUGAUGAAUGAUGUUGAUGCGAUGAAGAUCGACGACCAUGGACCAUGGAUGAUGCGUGAUGAUGCAGCGAAGAAGAUGGAGAAAUAGAGGAGGGUCUGAUACCUUUGGUUUUGUUUUUUUACCUUUUUCAUUUUCUUUCUUCCCUUUUUGUUUUCUACUGUGACUUUACUUCACAGUAUUCACCACACGUUUUCUUUUUGUUUCUUUACUUACUUUUCCUUUUUCUUCCUUUUCCUUUUAUUUCUUUCUUUGUUUUAUAUUUUAUAUUUUCUUUCCUUUUUAAUUAGGAGGAGUAUAAAUAUCUUAAGUCAUCUUUUUAGAGGGGAGUUUUUCAUUAGCCUAGUUUUAUUAUUUUUUCACCACUCUUAGUUUUUUUUUAGGAUUUUUAGGGUUUUAAAGAGGUUUAACCUCCAUAGUUUAGUUUAGGGAGAAAAAGGGGGAAAUCUCAAAGAAAGAUGGAGAUUGUAGAUUCAAGAGUGACACUUGUAUUGAAACUUUCAACCAUUAAUCAAUGAGCAUUUCUUACUCUAUCUCCUCUUUUAUUGUUUUAUUUUCAUUGUUUUUCUUAGAUUAGUUGUUCUUGAUUAGUUUAAUUAUUUAUGAUUUAUUUUAUUUAGUUUAAUGUUAGAUUAAUGAUUAUUAUCAUGUUAUUAAAGUUUAAUUUCUCUAAAGUCCUCAUUUUUGUAUUUAUGGAGUAAUUUGUUGGUUAGGGUUUGGGUGAAAACCCAACCAUGAUUGAAUUGGGCAUUUGAAAUUGGAUUUAGAGAUUUGUGUGAUUAAAUUAUUGCUUGUUUAGCUCUUCUAAUCUAUGUUGCAUUCUCUUUGAUCACUUGAAUGUCGUAUUAGACGGAGUUGAUUGAUUUAGGUUGGCAUGAGAGUGUGACCUAUUGAUUUCUAUUAUUGACUUGGGUUACCUUGAACCUCGGGAUAUGUUAGUAAUGGAUGAGAGUCCUUAUUUGAUGUCUUUGAGGAUUUCUCCGCCUAUGAGAGUAGGAUGGGAGUUGUGUGUUGGGUCAAUAGCUAAUUCAAGUAGUGUUCAUGUAUUAUCUCUAUGUUUGAUAUUCUUAUGCCUAUUUCAUGAUUAGUUGGUGUUUAAUCCCAUCUCCUAACUUUAGUUACUUUGAUAUUUAGCUUUUUCGUAGUUCUUAGUUGGUUAUUGACAAUUUCCGACUUGAUUCCGGCCUAGCUUAUUGUUUUAUCAAUACAUUUUGGUGUUCCUUAUUCCCUGUGGAUUUCGACCCUUACUUAUCACUUUACUUAGUUUAGUGACUUAGUUAGGUUUUGUUUGAUUUUAGGAGGCUAGUAACGACCUAGUUUUUCCUAUGUCAAAGAGCAAAUGUCUGAACCUCCCUAGACCCUGCAAUUUCUUUUUCUUCACUAUACAUAUAUUUAAAGACUCAAUGACUCAGCACUCACAAGUUGCUGGCAGAUCUUCAUAAAAUAUUGUCCUAUUUUUGGCUUUAACUCAGCUAUUAAAUUGCACUUAUAUGAUUGUAUCAUUCUGUGCAGAUGUUGUGUUAAAAGAAGUGUAUACCAUAAUAGGAAAGGUGAACCAUACUUCAUUUUGCUGCAACAUAAAGCCUGCAAGUCAGUGUUAUUAUGCAGCUGGAAUUCUAUCUGAUCUGAUUGUUAGAAUGUUAGUGUGUGUUGGUCAUCACAGAAGGUCUUUUAGGUUCAAUUUUAAUGCAAUUUCAUCUUGUAUGUGGCUAGAUGCAAAGGAAUGUAGAAAAAACCUCACAACAAUUAUUAAUUAGAGAACUUUACAGUCCCGUAUAUGUGGCAUCACAAAUCUAACUAAUAUAGAAGAAUACAAAUUGAUAUUGGUGGAUCUUGCUGAUGAAAGCUUAGGUUUAUAUUGUCUAGUUUGGCUCUCUUAUUUUCCUGUUUGUUUUGGCAUCUACAGGGACUGCUUUGACAUCUUAAUUGCUUUUGCAGGGAGAGCAGGGCAACUGAUACAGAAUCACUUUGUGUCCUUGUGGGAAAACUAGUAUGGUCCAUUCGUAUUGAUCUUCACAUACUAGAUAAUGGAGGGAAUCUUGUUGAUGCCGCAAAUGUUGCUGCUUUGGCAGCCCUUUUGACCUUUAAGAGGCCAGAGUGUAGUCUGGGGGGGAAGAUGGGCAAGAAUUAACAGUACAUCCACCUGAGGCUCUAUUAAUAAAUCUAGGGAGAGUAAAUGGAGAUCAUCAAAUCAACAUUAGCGAAACCAAUUCUAUUCCUGAAGGAGUACAGAUGGUGGAAGGAUGUUCUAAGAGAAAGGACAGAAGAAUAGGAAAGAAGGUAACAUAAGUGGAGCAAAAACAACUAUAGUAAUAGUAGUAGUAGUUGCAUAGUAAUAGUACUAGUAACAGUCAUAUAAUCAUUAUUAUUAUUAAAUCUUGCUAACUUCUACAGUAAGGCAUCCUAAACAGGGAGAGUGGAAACAGCUCAGACUCGAAAUGUACAAUCCAUCAUAACUCGAAAUGUACAGUAAUAGCAGAUGCAACAAGAUUGUAAUAAGAGCUUUUAGGCUUUAGCUGUACCGAAUAUGGACUUGGACUUGAACUUGAACUUGUUGUUGUAUUAUGGACUAUUGAGAACUACAUAUAUAUUGAUAUGCUGUAUGAAAUUGUUUAUCGUCAGGAUCAGGUGGCAGAGUUGAAGUUGCUACAGUUUUAUAGAGCAGAUGAAGAGAUCUUGUUUUAUGUGGUAUCUAAUUUGUACAUUGAACAUUUUAGUUGAGAGUGUAAAGAUUUAGCCGCUGCAGAGCUUAGUUGGUGCAGAAAAUGUCAAAUAGUGAUAUGGUAGUGUAGAUACAUCAUACUGUGUUCUUAUUAUUGAGACAUGUGGUAUUUCAGAAAUUGCAAGGUGCAUUACGUGAUAUCUGGUGUUAACGUUACGCGCUUCCCUACACUUUUAGCAA
Beta vulgaris subsp. vulgaris (sugar beet) is the source of this 3724-nucleotide long non-coding RNA. RefSeq lists it as uncharacterized. The transcript has 3 exons. The record is from RefSeq and is a predicted model, not a curated record. NCBI's taxonomy places the organism in Eukaryota, Viridiplantae, Streptophyta, Magnoliopsida, Caryophyllales, Amaranthaceae.